This 1093-nucleotide long non-coding RNA is filed under the name Coturnix japonica (Japanese quail). Its description in RNAcentral is "lncRNA (ENSCJPG00005000828.1)". The record is from RNAcentral. Lineage: Eukaryota; Metazoa; Chordata; Aves; Galliformes; Phasianidae.
AACUAGAGGGAAUAGUGAUAGAACUAGAGGGAAUGGUUUUAAGCUGCACCAGGGGAGAUUCAGGCUGGACAUUAGGAAGUAUUACUUCUCGGAAAGGGUAAUCAGGCAUUGGAAUGAACUGCCCAGGGAGGUGGUGGAGUCACUGACAAUGGGAGUGUUCAAGAAACGUUUGGAUGUGAUGUAUGGAAUAUGAUUUAUCCGGGAAGUAUUGGCAAUGGUUGGACCAGAUGAUCUUCUAGGUCUUUUCCAACCUUGAUAAUUCUGUGAUUCUGUGAUUUGACUCAGCAGGAUCAGACAUGAAACUUUGUCUAAGUGGACCGUCCAGCUUCGCACCACAAAUCUCAAGGAAGUGAAGUCUGCUGGUUGGUCCAUCAGAAAUUUGCCGUCGGGAGCCACUGGGUGGCAGUGCUUCCUCUGCCUUGCUGCUCUUACUGGAAGCCAACGCCUCAAGAGCAACCACGGUGAUACUCGGUGCGUCCCCAUGAGAAGAGUGAGAACAAGAACACUCAGACUGCUCUGAAGAUGAUCCUGGGUUGUGAGUUUAGUUCACUUAAAAUUAUUGCAUCUAAUUCUUUUAAUGUCAACCUCCUGGUACAGACAGAAGCAGUGAUGUUUACACUGUGAUGUCAAACAGUGCCCUUUCUUCUCCACUCUUACCCUUCCUUCCUCACCAAAGCACUGUAAGUUUGGGGAAAUCCAGUUCAGAGUCUUUUGUUUAAACUUUCCCUUCAUCCACCAUUACAUUUAGCUCUAAAUUCCAAUCUGCAUAUGAUACCUAAAAUUGCCAAAGCUUUUGGUUAUUCAAAUUGGAGGAGAAAAUUGUUAAUGUGAGCCUGUCUGUGGUGAAUGAUAUAUAAUAAGAUGCCUGGGAUGCUAGCUAUAUCAGUUAGAUGUAUGCAUAUACUGUAUUCACAGGUGCAAUAUCAGAGUUGUUAGUCUAUCAUCUUGCUUGAUGGCAAAAUACGAGGCAGUUUCUAUUUUUUAUUAGCUUCUCAAUUGCUUGCUCUCAGUAAACAGGUUGUUGACUUUUUGGAUAGAUAUUUGCACAUAUCUUCACCUUCCACUCAGUGUAGUUACCCAGCCUGUUUUUUUA